CAGAGUACAUUUCAGUUCAGUUUCAUAUAUUUACAACCAGCAGCAUACAAUCUCUGCAAGCUGUGAAUGACAGAAAUCAUAGAAUGUAUUUCUAAAUUUUGCAAGUAGUCCCACAAGAAUCAAAGAUGGAUUCCAGAUGCAGCAGGUGCAGCAGAACGAAGAAAAUGGAGGAGAAUUAUGGCACAAAGCAGUUCAUUCCAAAGUGAUUUCUGUCCUGACAUGUGAAAAUGACCUGAUACUUUCUUGUUCCCUCCUCCUGUGUAAGAGUUUAUGUAAGAGAAGAGCACAUCUAAACAACGAGAUGAGUAAGUGUGAAAAAUGGAAUUUCAGUAUUUGGAAAGGAACAAUUAUUCAGUUAGCUACCAUGGGCAGAGCAUCAGGAACUGAUUACAUUAACUGUUUGCAAGCAUCUCUGAAGUGUGUGUCAAGCCUCCCAAAGCUUAAUUCUGCUUCAUUGUGUAAAAAUCCACAGGAAGAGGUCAGUCACUGAAACUCUUGAAAUAGGUGUAUAAAAGCUGUGAAUCAGAUCAGUCACCUGAAAAGAAACGUCAUGCACAAACUUCCUGGCAGCACAAAGUUUGUACUUCCCAAAAUGUUCAGACAGCUGCAGUCUGACUUUAAAACAUUUGUGCUUGUGUAGUUGCAUGCACAGCGAAGCUUUGAAAAUGCACUUUUAUGUAUUAAAAGAACAACGCUCAUUUACUUCAUGGAUCACAGGACAUCACAGAGCACUUUAUAAUCAAUAAAUUGCAAUCACUGUUAUAAUGUAGGAAACACAGCAGUCAAUUUAUGCACAGCAAGGUCUCCACAAACAGCAGAAUGCUGACCAGAUAGUCUGUUACACUGCGAUGUUGCUUGGGAAAUAAAUAUUUGGUCAAGACACCAGGGAGAACUCCCACUGCUCUUCUUCAAAAUAGUGUCAUUGAUGAAAGGGUCAAUGGGAUUUCAGGAUAAAGUCUCACCUAAAAGGCAGCAGCAGCAUAACACUCUUUCAGAGCCACCUAUUUUGCGAUCAAGUCUCUGGAAAUGGAAGCUUGAACUCACAACCUUCAGAAGUAAGAGAGUUACCUAUUGAGUCGCAGCUGACAACUAUAUAACUUGGAGGAAUCCAUUAAGAUAUCCUAUUUAUUGUUUGCCUGCUACAUGGAGCAAAUGCCUGCUGUCUCUGAUCCGUAGAAUGUGGUGCUAAUGCAGGUUUUACUUCAGGUGCUGCCUGUACAUAAGAGGGUAAUCAUAGCUCUCGCCCAGCUUUCAACUAAAGUAUAACUGACUCAACCUAUCCAUUUAAAAAAGAAAGAAGAAAAGUGAAAGCACCACUGACUUCACGCUUUAUUCUCUGACACCAUCCAUCUUUCCAAAUUGAUUUUUGAUAUCCACAGUGACCUGGAAGCUAGGCACAGCGAUAACUCUCAGAAAGUGGAAAACAAUAUUAUUCCCACAAAUAUGAAUUACUCGUCGGCAGGUUAAAUCUACUGUGCAAUGAAUUAUGUGACCCCAGAGCUCCUAUAAUUCUUUUGAAUUUUACAGAGUCGUGAGAGAGAGAGCGCACAGCUCUGACAAGCACUUAACAGCCAAAAUCAGUCCUGAACAACUCUCCUGGACAUUUGAUUUAGCCAUUUCAGCCUGACGUUACCAGACAAUUUAGUUUUCGGAGUUGGAAGAAAAUGACAUUCAUCCAUUUUGAAACUUAUAGAUUUCAUUUGCUGAUCAUUUUUCACAAUAAGCUGCGAGUCUUUUGUCAUCAGCUAUUCCCAUUCCAGCCCCAAGUUAAAAAAACACAUAAAUGCUAAACAAAAUGACAACAGAGAUGAGAAAAACAGACUAGCUGAAGUUAAGAUGUAUGCGUAAAAGAGACACUGUACAUGAGCUCAGCAAGUUGUUAUUUUUAAAACCUCACGGCAUUAUUUUUCCAAUGAUUGACCUGUCAAUUUCAUCCCUUCAAACCCAACUAACCAAACAUCCCUGUGAAACAAAAGUCUGACUGUCAGUACGUGCAUUACUUCAAUGUACUGCAAACAGGUUUGACAGAUAUGUUGUAUAUUUAAAAAUGUGCUACAUUUAAACAAUUACAUCAAUGGGUGUCAGAUAUGUUAUGUUUUGCAUCGAGGCUUCCUGUAAUAUUUCUAUGUCAGUCAUGUAAUUGGAGACAGGCAAUUAAAACCAAGGUAAACUAGAAUCCUUUAGCUGCAGUGAUGAAAAGCAGCAGGUUUCUGGUGCAUUUCGUACAAAUAUUGAUCAUAAAUGGACACCGUGCCUCCAAGGGUGGACGAAGCAGAUUCAAUGAUAUCUUGCAAAAGGGAGUUGGAUAAAUACUUAAAGAGGUAAGAAAAAUAAGUUGGGCUAACAGAAAAGGAUUGGGCAGCUCCUUGCAGCUAAAUAGGCCUUCCCAAGAGCUUUUAAAAGAUGUGCCAAAUGAUGAUCCUUCAGCUCUGUGCGAUUCGAUAGACACUCGAGUAUUGAUCCGAGAGUUUUAGAAAUGACCCAGCUGUAUUAUAAAGCUCAAAGCUAACGUCAAGGAGCUGUGCUGUACCCUGCAGGCUGGAAAAGGUAACUGAAUUACUCAAUAGUAUCAUGGAAUCACGCAUCCAAGUAAUUCCGGUCCAAGAUGGUGCCAGAGUGGCACGCUUCAGCUGGAGUUGGUCUUCUCCUCCCGCUCUCCUUCUUUAUUUCUUCUCAUUUCUUUCUUCUUGGUCCUUUUUCAUUUUCUCUCCCGGCCUCUGACAACUCCCAGCCUCCGACGUGACUCCCAGCAUCUGGCGAUAACUCCCUUCCUCCGGUUACGACUCCCAGCCUCCGAUGAUGACUCCCAGCAUCCAACAACAACUCCCAGCCUCCGACGGUGACUCACAGCAUCCGGGGAUGACUCCCGCCCUCCGGCAAUAACUCCCUUCCUCCGGUGAUGACUCCCAGCCUCCGACGGUGACUCCCAACAUCCGGCGAUAACUCCCAGCCUCUGGCAAUAACUCCCUCUCUCUGGUGACAGCU
Non-coding RNA from Chiloscyllium plagiosum (whitespotted bambooshark), 2985 nucleotides. The record is from RefSeq and is a predicted model, not a curated record. NCBI's taxonomy places the organism in Eukaryota, Metazoa, Chordata, Chondrichthyes, Orectolobiformes, Hemiscylliidae.